UGGGGAAUAUUGGACAAUGGGCGCAAGCCUGAUCCAGCCAUGCCGCGUGAGUGAUGAAGGCCCUAGGGUUGUAAAGCUCUUUCACCGGUGAAGAUAAUGACGGUAACCGGAGAAGAAGCCCCGGCUAACUUCGUGCCAGCAGCCGCGGUAAUACGGAAGGUUCGGGCGUUAUCCGGAUUUAUUGGGUUUAAAGGGAGCGUAGGCCGUUUGGUAAGCGUGUUGUGAAAUGUAGGAGCUCAACUUCUAGAUUGCAGCGCGAACUGUCAGACUUGAGUGCGCACAACGUAGGCGGAAUUCAUGGUGUAGCGGUGAAAUGCUUAGAUAUCAUGAAGAACUCCGAUUGCGAAGGCAGCUUACGGGAGCGCAACUGACGCUGAAGCUCGAAGGUGCGGGUAUCGAACAGG
RNAcentral lists this ribosomal RNA (404 nucleotides) under Verrucomicrobiota bacterium. Its description in RNAcentral is "Verrucomicrobia bacterium partial 16S ribosomal RNA". It matches the Rfam family "Bacterial small subunit ribosomal RNA", at positions 355 to 776 of the family's 1533-position model. The record is from RNAcentral. Lineage: Bacteria; Pseudomonadati; Verrucomicrobiota.